Molecule: ribosomal RNA, 482 nt
Filed under: uncultured bacterium
Lineage: Bacteria
Description: bacterial SSU rRNA
Rfam family: Bacterial small subunit ribosomal RNA
Source: RNAcentral
UUGAACGCUGGCGGCAUGCCUUACACAUGCAAGUCGAACGGUAACAGGGGGCUUGCUCCGCUGACGAGUGGCGAACGGGUGAGUAAUGUAUCGGAACGUACCAUUCAGUGGGGGAUAACGUAGCGAAAGUUACGCUGAUACCGCAUAUUCUGUGAGCAGGAAAGCAGGGGAUCGCAAGACCUUGCGCUGAUUGAGCGGCCGAUAUCAGAUUAGCUAGUUGGUGAGGUAAAAGCUCACCAAGGCGACGAUCUGUAGCGGGUCUGAGAGGAUGAUCCGCCACACUGGAACUGAGACACGGUCCAGACUCCUACGGGAGGCAGCAGUGGGGAAUUUUGGACAAUGGGCGCAAGCCUGAUCCAGCAAUGCCGCGUGCAGGAUGAAGGCCUUCGGGUUGUAAACUGCUUUUGUACGGAGCGAAAAGGCUCUCUCUAAUACGGGGGGUUCAUGACGGUACCGUAAGAAUAAGCACCGGCUAACUACGU